This is a small nucleolar RNA of Tachysurus fulvidraco (yellow catfish), 70 nucleotides long. RefSeq annotates it as small nucleolar RNA SNORD75. The record is from RefSeq and is a predicted model, not a curated record. NCBI's taxonomy places the organism in Eukaryota, Metazoa, Chordata, Actinopteri, Siluriformes, Bagridae. The transcript has a single exon.
AGCCUGUGAUGAACAAUGAGUAAGAGUAGUGGACAGAAGUGGUUUCUGAAAAAUACAUAUUUCUGAGGCU